GAUGAACGCUGGCGGCGCGCCUAACACAUGCAAGUCGAACGGCACCCCUCCUCGGAGGGAAGCGAGUGGCGAACGGCUGAGUAACACGUGGAGAACCUGCCCCCUCCCCCGGGAUAGCCGCCCGAAAGGACGGGUAAUACCGGAUACCCCGGGGUGCCGCAUGGCACCCCGGCUAAAGCCCCGACGGGAGGGGAUGGCUCCGCGGCCCAUCAGGUAGACGGCGGGGUGACGGCCCACCGUGCCGACAACGGGUAGCCGGGUUGAGAGACCGACCGGCCAGAUUGGGACUGAGACACGGCCCAGACUCCUACGGGAGGCAGCAGUGGGGAAUCUUGCGCAAUGGGGGGAACCCUGACGCAGCGACGCCGCGUGCGGGACGGAGGCCUUCGGGUCGUAAACCGCUUUCAGCAGGGAAGAGUCAAGACUGUACCUGCAGAAGAAGCCCCGGCUAACUACGCG
This 459-nucleotide ribosomal RNA is filed under the name uncultured bacterium. RNAcentral describes it as "partial 16S ribosomal RNA". It matches the Rfam family "Bacterial small subunit ribosomal RNA", at positions 28 to 507 of the family's 1533-position model. The record is from RNAcentral.